RNAcentral lists this ribosomal RNA (232 nucleotides) under uncultured bacterium. RNAcentral describes it as "partial 16S ribosomal RNA". It matches the Rfam family "Bacterial small subunit ribosomal RNA", at positions 73 to 305 of the family's 1533-position model. The record is from RNAcentral.
UUAAUGCUUGCAUUAAAGAUUCUAGUGGCGAACGGGUGCGUAACGCGUGGGAAUCUACCUAGUAGAAGGGGAUAGCCCGGGGAAACCCGGAUUAAUACCGUAUACCUCCUUCGGGAGAAAGAAGGCCUCUCUUUGAAGCUUUCGCUACUAGAUGAGCCUGCGUAAGAUUAGCUUGUUGGUGAGGUAAAGGCUCACCAAGGCGACGAUCUUUAGCUGGUCUGAGAGGACGAUC